UGACGAGUUUGAUCCUGGCUCAGAACGAACGCUGGCGGCAGGCUUAACACAUGCAAGUCGAACGGCAGCACGGGUGCUUGCACCUGGUGCGAGUGGCGGAACGGGUGAGUAAUACAUCGGAACGUACCUUAUCGUGGGGAUAACGCAGCGAAAGUUGCGCUAAUACCGCAUACGCCCUGAGGGGGAAAGCGGGGGACCGUAAGGCCUCGCGCGAUUAGAGCGGCCGAUGUCUGAUUAGCUUGUUGGUGAGGUAAAGGCUCACCAAGCCAACAAUCUGUAGCUGGUCUGAGAGGACGACCAACCACACUGGAACUGAGACACGGUCCAGACUCCUAC
Molecule: ribosomal RNA, 336 nt
Filed under: uncultured Polynucleobacter sp.
Lineage: Bacteria; Pseudomonadati; Pseudomonadota; Betaproteobacteria; Burkholderiales; Burkholderiaceae
Description: bacterial SSU rRNA
Rfam family: Bacterial small subunit ribosomal RNA
Source: RNAcentral